GCUGGAGUGGCGGAAUUGGUAUACGCGCUAGUCUUAGGAACUAGUCCCGCAAGGGUUAGGAGUUCAAGUCUCCUCUCCAGCA
Molecule: transfer RNA, 82 nt
Filed under: Candidatus Nomurabacteria bacterium
Lineage: Bacteria; Candidatus Nomuraibacteriota
Also listed under: 1 other name
Description: tRNA-Leu
Rfam family: tRNA
About the family: Transfer RNA (tRNA) molecules are approximately 80 nucleotides in length. Their secondary structure includes four short double-helical elements and three loops (D, anti-codon, and T loops). Further hydrogen bonds mediate the characteristic L-shaped molecular structure. tRNAs have two regions of fundamental functional importance: the anti-codon, which is responsible for specific mRNA codon recognition, and the 3' end, to which the tRNAs corresponding amino acid is attached (by aminoacyl-tRNA synthetases). tRNAs cope with the degeneracy of the genetic code in two manners: having more than one tRNA (with a specific anti-codon) for a particular amino acid; and 'wobble' base-pairing, i.e. permitting non-standard base-pairing at the 3rd anti-codon position.
Source: RNAcentral